Molecule: ribosomal RNA, 1190 nt
Filed under: Plakortis sp. 2 JV-2014
Lineage: Eukaryota; Metazoa; Porifera; Homoscleromorpha; Homosclerophorida; Plakinidae
Also listed under: 1 other name
Description: SSU rRNA
Rfam family: Eukaryotic small subunit ribosomal RNA
Source: RNAcentral
CCUAUCAACUGUCGAUGGUAAGGUAUUGGCUUACCAUGGUUGCAACGGGUGACGGAGAAUUAGGGUUCGAUUCCGGAGAGGGAGCCUGAGAAACGGCUACCACAUCCAAGGAAGGCAGCAGGCGCGCAAAUUACCCAAUCCCGACACGGGGAGGUAGUGACAAUAAAUAACAAUACAGGGCCUUGUCAGGUCUUGUAAUUGGAAUGAGAACAAUUUAAAUCCCUUAACGAGGAACAAUUGGAGGGCAAGUCUGGUGCCAGCAGCCGCGGUAAUUCCAGCUCCAAUAGCGUAUAUUAAAGUUGUUGCAGUUAAAAAGCUCGUAGUUGGAUUUCGGCGGCGCGCUCUCGGUCCGCCUGGCGGCGUGUCACUGGGAGCGCGCGGCUUUCUCUCGAGGGCCGCGCGUGCUCUUGAUUGCGCGUGCGCGGGACUCGGGACGUUUACUUUGAAAAAAUCAGAGUGUUCAAAGCAGGCCGUGCAGCUUGAAUACGUUAGCAUGGAAUAAUGGAAUAGGACGUCGGUCCUAUUUUGUUGGUUUCUGGGACCGAGGUAAUGAUUAAUAGGGACAGUUGGGGGCAUUCGUAUUCAAUUGUCAGAGGUGAAAUUCUUGGAUUUAUGGAAGACGGACGCAUGCGAAAGCAUUUGCCAAGGAUGUUUUCGUUAAUCAAGAACGAAAGUUGGAGGUUCGAAGACGAUUAGAUACCGUCGUAGUUCCAACCAUAAACUAUGCCGACUAGGGAUCGGAGGACGUUAUUUGUCGACUCCUUCGGCACCUUGCGAGAAAUCAAAGUUUUUGGGUUCCGGGGGGAGUAUGGUCGCAAGACUGAAACUUAAAGGAAUUGACGGAAGGGCACCACCAGGAGUGGAGCCUGCGGCUUAAUUUGACUCAACACGGGAAAACUCACCAGGUCCGGACACAGUAAGGAUUGACAGAUCGAGAGCUCUUUCUUGAUUCUGUGGGUGGUGGUGCAUGGCCGUUCUUAGUUGGUGGAGUGAUCUGUCUGCCUAAUCGCGAUAACGAACGAGACCUUAACCUGCUAACUAGUCACGGUGCGCCGUGGGCGACGCGCCGGUCGACUUCUUAGAGGGACUAUCGGUGUCUAACCGAUGGAAGUGUGAGGCAAUAACAGGUCUGUGAUGCCCUUCGAUGUCCUGGGCUGCACGCGCGCUACACUGACGGACUCAGCGAGUGU